Molecule: long non-coding RNA, 636 nt
Filed under: Nicotiana benthamiana
Lineage: Eukaryota; Viridiplantae; Streptophyta; Magnoliopsida; Solanales; Solanaceae
Description: long non-coding RNA (NBEN_LNC023624)
Source: RNAcentral
UGUCACCUAGUCCUCUCUGCUCUAAAAAGCUCUCAACCCAAACCCUAAUCUCCAAACACCAUCACUCAUCUAUGGCCAUCUCCGAUGACCUUCCACCACUUCUCAGGCCUCAAAUGGCCUCCCUCACGUCAUUCUUGUCAUCUCUAGGGCCCUCAAGGGACUGGGGCUAGUGGCUUGCGUCUAUGGCUCCUCUCUCACCUGUUUUAGGCCAUUCCGAUGUGAUUCUGAGUGAGAUCGUUCUAUGUUGACUAAGAUCUAUGAUUUCUAAGCCGGUUUCUUCACAUCUCUAUGGUUCUCUUUGAAAUCCUAAUUUCUUUUCUAAACCUCUUAGAUUUGUAUAGAUCUUAGAUGAUUUGGGUUUAUUUCAUGUGAGUUUUACAAUAGCCUUGAGAUUCUGUACAAUAAUCGAGUGAUUUUUAUCUUUUUCUAAGACUAGGAUUUUCAGAAUUUCUUUUUGAAAUUGUUUAAUGAUUUUGUGUUUAAUCUUCUGCUUCUCAUAUAUUUUUGACUAAUUUUAUUAGUCUGCAACAACCCUAACUCGCUUGUACCAAAAGCCCUAAUUUUUUAGAGUUCUUCAUUUGGUUUCUGAAUAUAGUACAUGUGAUUGUGUUCUUGCUUUGGGUUCUUGUGAUUUCC